GUCUUCCUACCCAGCGCCGCGGCUCUCGGAGGCUGCCAGUGGCUGGGUGCGCCUGGCCUGAGUCCUCCACCCGAAGAAAAUAAGGAACCUGGCCAGAGAGAGGCAAAAGGAAGAGUCUGCUCCUCAUGUUCCUUCUUGCUGUGGUUUUACCCUCGCCACUUAUUUCGUGGUCAUUCAUUGAAAGGCACAGAAGCAACACUGCAAAUAUCACAAAUCUCCAGCACCGUAUGCUGUUACUCUGAGCUGGAUUUUUUGUUCUUUUGUUUGCAUAGAUUAUUCUGCUUUUAAUCUUCAAAAUCUGCGCAUGAAAGGGGACUGCACAGAAUUUUUUUUUUCUUUUUGAGAUGGAAUCUCAUUCUGUCUGUCACUCAGGCUGGUGUGUGCAGUGGCAAGAUAUAGGCUCACGGCAACCUCUGCCUCCCUGGUUCCAGCGAUUCUCCUGCCUCAGCCUCC
RNAcentral lists this long non-coding RNA (453 nucleotides) under Homo sapiens (human). RNAcentral's name for it is "HSALNT0357118". The record is from RNAcentral. Lineage: Eukaryota; Metazoa; Chordata; Mammalia; Primates; Hominidae.